AACGCUAGCUACAGGCUUAACACAUGCAAGUCGAGGGGAAACGAUAUUGGAAGCUUGCUUCCGAUAGGCGUCGACCGGCGCACGGGUGAGUAACGCGUAUCCAACCUGCCCACCACUUGGGGAUAACCUUGCGAAAGUAAGACCAAUACCCAAUGAUAUCUCUAGAAGACAUCUGAAAGAGAUUAAAGAUUUAUCGGUGAUGGAUGGGGAUGCGUCUGAUUAGCUUGUUGGCGGGGUAAUGGCCCACCAAGGCAACGAUCAGUAGGGGUUCUGAGAGGAAGGUCCCCCACAUUGGAACUGAGACACGGUCCAAACUCCUACGGGAGGCAGCAGUGAGGAAUAUUGGUCAAUGGACGAGAGUCUGAACCAGCCAAGUAGCGUGCAGGAUGACGGCCCUAUGGGUUGUAAACUGCUUUUAUAAGGGAAUAAAGUGAGUCUCGUGAGACUUUUUGCAUGUACCUUAUGAAUAAGGACCGGCUAAUUCCGUGCCAGCAGCCGCGGUAAUACGGAAGGUCCGGGCGUUAUCCGGAUUUAUUGGGUUUAAAGGGAGCGUAGGCCGGAGAUUAAGCGUGUUGUGAAAUGUAGACGCUCAACGUCUGCACUGCAGCGCGAACUGGUUUCCUUGAGUACGCACAAAGUGGGCGGAAUUCGUGGUGUAGCGGUGAAAUGCUUAGAUAUCACGAAGAACUCCGAUUG
Molecule: ribosomal RNA, 696 nt
Filed under: uncultured bacterium
Lineage: Bacteria
Description: bacterial SSU rRNA
Rfam family: Bacterial small subunit ribosomal RNA
Source: RNAcentral